ACCUGCACAAUGUGCACAUGUACCCUAAAACUUAAAGUAUAAUAAUAAUAAAAAUAAUAAUCAUAGAAAAAUAAAAUAAAAUUACAAAAAAAAUAAAAAAUAUAGUAAAUUUAAAAGAGAAAAAGAUGAGGUAAAGGUAAAUGUACAGAAUUUACUUUUUCUUCUAUAAAACCCGAGUCAGUACCAAGAAGAGUCAAUUUAUUAGUUUUCUAAAAUAAAAAAAAAUCAAAAUCACCAAAAAAGAGCAAUAUCCAAGAAAACAUUGAAAAUGAAACACAACAUUUAGUAAGAAUAGAAAACUUGGGCACUGUAUCACCCUGUUCCUAGAUACCGAUUUACUGGUGGCCAUUUAAAUAGAAUUUUUUUCUAUCUAAUUCAUUUAUACUUCCAGAGUUCGAAAUUACAUUUCACCUGCAAUAAAUGAGAUAACACUUGUAAAUUAUAUGGCACUCUGCCUAACACACGUUAAUAACUCAAUACAUGUUAGCAAUAAACUUUUAGUAUAGUAGUCAAAGUAUUAAUUUCUCACAUUGCAAUUUCCUUCAAAGACAUGAAUACAACCUUUCUAAUGACUCCUUGUUCAUCAAGAUACCUCUUCAAAUUAUUCUAUUUGUUUCAUUCAGUAUAUUAUCUGUGUAUACCGAUAUUACACUCUUUUCUUUUUUUGAGAUGGAAUCUCAUUCUGUUACUGAUGCUGGAGUGAGGUGGCAUGAUCUCGGUUCACUGCAACCUCCACCUCCCAGGUUCAAGCGAUUCUCCUGUCUCAGCCCCACAAGUAGCUAGGACUACAGGUGCACACCACCAUGCCUGGCUAAUUUUUGUGUUUUUAGUACAGCCAGAGUCCAUGCCUGGCUGGACUCGAACUCCUGACCUCAGGUGAUCCACCCACCAUGGCCUCCCAAAGUGCUGGGAUUACAGGCAUAAGCCACCGCACCCAGCCUGAUAUUGCACUCUUGGAUUUUGAACACUGAAUAUCUUUUUGAAAGAUUACACCUCUUUACCUCUUUGUGCUUCAGAAAUUAUUUUCCUUCAAGUGUUCUAAGAGUCUAAUGAAGAAUGAAGUCAUGUUUUAUCACUUUUGUCCUUAAAGAUUUCAGACAUGCUGAAACUGAUUGAAGUAUCAUUUGCUACCAGAUAGAUUAAUUAUCUCUAGUUGUAGGAGUGGAUACAUCUUUAAUGGUAUAUUUUGGGUUAUUGUCUUAUUUUUGAUGCAGUAUUCUAUAAAUAAUUUAUUAAACCUGGCAUCCUUGGGUGAGCAUAGAUUUUUCAACUUUGGUGUUAUAUUGUGUUUGCUUUUAAAAACUGCUUUUGAGGCCAGGUAUGGUGGCUCUUGCCCAUACCCAGCACUUUGGGAGGCCAAGGUGGGCGGAUUACCUCAGGUCAGGAGUUCAAGACCAGCCUGGUCAACAUGGCAAAACCAUGUCUCUACUAAAAACACAAAAUUAGCCAGGCAUGGUGGUGCAUGCUUGUAGUUCUAACCACUCGAGAGGCUGAGGCAAGAGAAUCACCUGAGCCUAGGAGGCAAAGGUUGCUAGGUUGCUGUGAGCCAAAUUCGCACCAUUGCACUCCAGCCUGGGUGAAAAGAGCAAAACUCAUCUCAAAAAAAAAAAAAAAACCCACCAAAAACUGCUUUUGAAUGGAGUUGUACAUACAAUUUUUAUGAAAAAAAUUAUCAAGUGCAUAAGUUCAUAAUGGAAAAACCAAUAAUACUCCAGGCACAAGUUAGUACUAAAAAAAUUAUGUUGAAUAUUCUCUAAUACAACAUGCUUUUUCCCUUCAUGAACAAUUUGUGUUUUACUGAGAAGAGUCAUUGUUUAUGGUAGACAUUAGACUACAGAUGAAUAUGUACUUUAAACACUCUUAGUUGCUUUCUUAAUUUUAUAUCUGCUGCUUUAUGCUUCUGUUUAUUUUCAUUCUUUCCAAUGUCCACAUUCUAGUAAAUUUGAAUAUUUUAAUCCGUUUAUAUACUAUUUAAUAUUGCUUGUAUAGUUUAGUAUUGUUAAGACUCAAAAAGGUUUACAGAAAGAAGAAAAAGAUCAACAUGUUAUUAAUCAUUUAAAGAUCAUUUUAAAAUCUUUGACCUUUAUAUUUUAAUGAAUAAAAUGUUAGUAGUUAUUAGUAUAAAAUAAUUUAUGUCUUUUGGACUUAGCAUCCAGUAUUUUUUAAUAAAGAAAAUAAUUAUUCUCUUGCAAUAUACUAUGUUUAUCUGGGUUUUGAAAAGUGAUGUUUCCUAAUAUGAGAAAGCCAUUUACAUUUUUAAAUCUACAAAGGCAAAUGGAAUGGUACUAAAUUAUUUACAUAAUAAUGUUUAGAUGGUGGCCCUUAUAACAUUCUUUCUAUACUUCCUACAGAGUUGGGGAUAUGCAAUCCUAGAAUAUUUCUGGGAGCUAAUCCUUUAGCUUGAUGAAUGAAACAAGACUUUUAAAUAAAAUUAAACUUUCAAAUUAUCCAGGUAAUGGGCCUGUCUUUUAAUUCAAUGGAUAUGGAGCAUAAUGAAUUAUCCCCUGUUCUUUGGGUAAUAAGUUCUCAUUCUUAACUUAUAAUACUCAAAAUGUCCUUUAAUUUUUAAUUUUUGAUAGUCAUAUCAUUAUCCCUAGGUAUUUUAGCUUCUAUCUUAAUUCUAAAAUAAUUUUGAAAUAGGAGAAAGUAUUCUUUAUUACUAUAUGUAUUAAACAUCAUGGUUUUCAAAUUUAACUGCAAAUGUAUCUUUUCAUUGCUUCUUGAUGACGCCCUUCACCCUAUCCAUAUUGUCACUACCAAGUGGCGAUUACUUUUCAGGUUCACAUACUUAUUCUUCAGAAAAAUCUUCUCUGUGCCUUAUAAAGAAUAUGAUUGUUGGCAUUCAAAAGCCAGCGAAGUAUACAUUAUUAGCCUGUUGCCUAACUCAUUUCUUUAAGAAACUACACUAAUUACCCACAUACUUAUGUUUUUAUUUCCUCAUUAUUUCUGGAGAAAACAAAUACUGCUAACAUGAUAUUUGUAAGAGAGAAAAAAGUCUUUUCUUGAAAAGUGCUGUCUUUGUAGUACUAACUUAUAGUAUCAACUUCUUUAUAAACUCCUUAUACACUUUUUAUUCUGAGAGAAAUAAAAAAGCUAAAAGUGAAAUGACUUUUUUUACUCUCCAUAUUAUAAGCACCCAUCUUGGUAAUUUAGGGUCUUUAUAGUUAGGGUAAGUUGUAUCAUACCGAGGUUACAAAAUAAAAAGUAUUUUGUCUCUUUGGGCCUUUCCUUAUUCAGUAAUACUGUCAGUUUGGCUUUUUUUGUAGGUCAACUUAUUGAACUCAGUAUUCUGAAAUAAUAUGUUUACUAUCUUUUGAUAAGCAUUUAAAAUAUUAGAUUUAUUGUUACUCUUCUGCCUUUAUUGGGCUGGAAGAAUAAUUGUUUCACUCCACAAAAGCCAAGUUGCAGAGAAAAACACAUAGACAUUAAACUGCAAAGCAGAGAAACUUGACUAUUUUCUGCAAUUUUAAAGUGUAUAUUGAAUAAAACCAUCUUUUUAUUUUCUUUUUUGCUCACUGGCAAAUAUUAACAACAUCAAGUGUAUUAUUAUAAUGUUAUCUAGUUUAAAAUCUCAAAGUUUUCAUAAUUACCAUUUUAAAAUAUGUAAAUAGGUGACCUAAUGUUAAUUUUUAUUGUCUGAGACCAUGUCUGUUAUUUCACUCUUUAAAUUCAAUUAGUAAUGCAGAACCUAGCACUUAGUAGAUACUCAAAAAUUAUUUGCUGAAUAAAAAAAGGUUAAACAUGUAAUAUAUACAAAAUGUACUGGAAAAAAUGCACCAAACAAUUUUGUUAUACCAGUUUAAUGUAAAUAUUGCUUUUAAAAGAUAAUAUAGUUUUCAGGUGUCUACAGUGAUUUUGUAAUAUUUGUGCACAUAUAAUAAUUCCAAAAAUGUAAUCCAGUGGGGAAAUAUACUCUCUAAAUUCUAGAUUUAUAAUUUAGGGUUUAAAUUAUAAAAUCAUUAAAUAAGACACAAGUGAAAUAUAGUCAAAUAUCCCCUUGGAAAAAAAAUUAAGUGGUCUCUAAAGUGAGGUAUUCAUAUAUGUAAUUUUACAAUCCUCUAGUGAUAGAAUUAAUUAAAUACGCCACCAAAUUGAUUAAUUCCUACAGUAUUAAAAGAGAAGCACUAACAAUGCCAGUGACCAUGUAACAUGGAUUUAAGCUAUAAGUCAUAGAAAUGUGAUGAGAAACCUCAGCGCUGUAAAACAGAGGGUGGAGGAAAGCUUUUCCUCUCUCAAAUGAGCUUUGCGAGGUAUACUUCUUGAAGGAUAGGAAGUUGAAGUGUUAGGACUUUUAUGUCUAUUCUACUUUGGCUUAGUUUACAUGAUUCUUAGUUUAUUAGCCUAUAAAUGGCCAAGAAAACUUAAGGUUCAAUAAUUAGUUAUAAAUAUGAAAUAUCCCCAAUUUUUAAGAUAAAAACAACUUAUAAAUGUAUUUGUCUGUAAAAAUUGUGUAUAUUUUUACAGAACAUCUAUUUAUUUUUUUAUUUUUUUAUUUUUUUUAUUAUACUUUAAAUUCUAGGGUACACAUGCACAAUGUGCAGGUUUGUUGCAUAUGUAUACAUGUGCCAUGUUGGUGUGCUGCACCCAUUAACUCAUCAUUUAUAUUAGGCAUAUCUCCUAAUGCUAUCCCUCCCCCCUCCCCCCACCCCACAACAGGCCCUGGUGUGUGAUUUUCCCUUUCCUGUGUCCAAGUGUUCUCAUUGUUCAAUUCCCACCUAUGAGUGAGAACAUGCGGUGUUUGUUUUUUUGUCCUUGCCAUAGUUUGCUGAGAAUGAUGGUUUCCAACUUCAUCCGUGUCCCUACAAAGGACAUGAACUCAUCAUUUUUUAUGGAUGCAUAGUAUUCUAUGGUGUAUAUGUGCCACAUUUUCUUCAUCCAGUCUAUCAUUGUUGGACAUUUGGGUUGGUUCCAAGUCUUUGCUAUUGUGAAUAGUGCCGCAAUAAACAUACGUGUGCAUGUGUCUUUAUAGCAGCACGAUUUAUAAUCCUUUGGGUAUAUACCCAGUAGUGGGAUGGCUGGGUCAAAUGGUAUUUCUAGUUCUAGAUCCCUGAGGAAUGGCCACACUGUCUUCCACAAUGGUUGAACUAGUUUACAGUCCCACCAACAGUGUAAAAGUGUUCCUAUUUCUCCACAUCCUCUCUAGCACCUGUUGUUUCCUGACUUUUUAAUGAUCACCAUUCUAACUGGUGUGAGAUGGUAUCUCAUUGUGGUUUUGAUUUGCAUUUCUCUGAUGGGUCUAUUUCUUUAAAACAAAGUGAGGGGAGUCUCUCAUUUACAUUAGUUUUUUUCAUAGCCUUUUGAACUUUGCAAUUUCUAUGUUUCAGAACCUAUUUCUUACAGUUCUUCUAUGCUAAACUCUGUCCUAGUCAGUUCUAGAGUGUAUGAAGAACCAAAUGAUGUAAUUGUAUGCGACCUGGCUGUAGUGGAACAAAUUUGACUCUAAAGUAUGCAGGCUCUAAUUUUCCUGUCUGGUUUUGUCUAGGAAGAUGACUCAUCAGAAAAAGAAGAAAAAAGAGGUAUUUGGAAAUUGUGCAAAUUAAAGCAGCCCCUGAUGCCAAAGUCUACACAUUCCUGAGUGAGUCAGUUCUGGCCAGUUCUAGCUGGAUCAAGAGAGCUCUGCUGGGCAGGCCUGAAGAGCACCUGGAUGGCAGACACCUGAGGAGCCAGGUGCCUGAAACUUCCUCCACCUGCUUGAGGAGCGCCAAAGCCCAGGUGCUGGCUGGACAACCCCUUCUGGCUGCCUAAGCAGGUGGCAGAAGAAGGAAACAAGGUCAGAGGCAGAGUGUUGAACCCUGCCUCCCAGGUGGGUGGAAGAUGCCUGUCGCCAAACUAGGUCCCAGCUUGCCGGGUGAGAUGGGUGAACUGGUGAUCCCCCGAGAGAGUGGACGUCAGAACUACAUGUUUCCGGACUUCACCUUGGCCAGCGAAGGAGAGAGAGGGUUAAUGUUAACUGCACGAGGCCCACUCUAGCCUUAAAUUCUGUAAUUCAAACCCUUCCCUUGGAGACAAAACAAACAUGACAAGGAAUUCUGAGGUCAGGGGACAAGAAUCACAAGUUCCCUAGUGGGAGACUGAGGAGGCAGUGUCCUUCCUGCCCUUGGUCUACUGGCUAAGAACCUUCCUCAGCCUGACCUUUCCACAUUGCACUUUCAGCUCUGUUUGCAAUUGUCCUCCUUUAGUGCUGAGGGAAUCCCAGUGUUCGAUCCUGAAAUCUAUAGGUUCCUAAUGGGUGGUUAAAAAAAACCUCAGCGAGAGAAGCAGAAAAUGUUUCCUUUUCCUGAAAAACUGUAGAAAGGCAGGCACCAUUCUGGGUGAGGACAUGGUCCUUGCAAAUGUCUUUGUGUUUUGUGUUUUUUUUUUUUUUUUUUUUUUUUGAGAUGAAGUUUUGCUCUUGUUGCCCAGACUGGAGUGCAGUGGUGUGAUCUCUGCUCAUUGCAACCUCCACCUCCUGGGUUCAAGCAGUUCUCCUACCUCAGCCUCCUGAGUAGCUGGAAUUACAGGCACCUGCCACCACACCUGGCUAAUUUUUUGUAUUUUUAGUAGAGAUGGGGUUUUGCCAUGUUGGUCUCGAACUCCUGACCUCAAGUGAGCCACCCGCUUCUGCCUCCCAAAGUGCUGGGAUUACAGGAGUGAGCCACCGCGUCCAGCCUGCAAACAUCUUUAAAGACAGCGUGUUUCAGAGGCUGUGACGGUGCCUUGUGAACAUGCCAAUUCUCGCAGUCCCGGGAGCUCUGAGGAGCAGGCCCAGCUCCUUGCCAGGCUGAUGGUACUGAAACUCUGCUCUCCAAGACAUAACCUGAUGGCCGUGCAAGAUUUCUUAAUCGACUGUGGACCGUGAGAGUCUGCAUCUCAUUUUAAUUAAGAUGGGAAAAGAAAGAACAAAAGAGCAACUCCCAGGUUAUAGAGAAACUGGAUUUUAGUGUAAUAUUGAAGUGUAGCAUUGCUAAUAAUAACAAACCUUUCCCCUGCCAAACGGUAAACACUUGCACUGCCUAUUAUACAAAAAUUCAACCACCCUCUCUGUUCCCCCGAUAUCUCCUCCCCAGUGACCCCCCUCUCAUGCGGCCUCAUGAGCCUGGCCAGUGGUGAAUGGCACUUUCAUGGGCAUGAGACUCCACGUGAGUGGGACUCAGCUGGGACCCCUCUCCCCGUGGGAGCUGGAGAAGCCACCCUAGUGCCAGCUCAAAGUGUCUGUGAUGUCCCUGCUGCUGAGGUAGGGGCCGCCUCUGAGCUGGUCUUGGGGUGUGAGCUGCUGCUGGUAGUGGGCUCUGCCCUGAGGGCCUGGUGGCUGGUCAGAACGGCAGGCACACAUGGGUGACUCCCUAGGAACUCAGCCCACCUCCCCACCACAGCCCUGCACUGUGUGCUCCAGGCAUGUGCUGAGUGCCUGGUCAAUCACCAGUACCCUAUUGAUCCCCGUCUCCAGAGAGAUCAUUUAGUGUCACUCCACAGAGGGGGAAACUGAGGCCCAGAGAAGUAAGGUGACUCUCCCCAGUCACAGGGCUGCUCAGCAGUAGGAUGGGAGGCUAGUCCCUUGCUGUCUGACUCCCUGAGCCCACCCAUAUCCCAAGGCAGCCAACCUCUGCCCGCCCUGGUUCAGGCCCUGACUGGCCCCUGUGGUGGGUGAUGUCUAUCUUCCUGGACUUUAUGCUCCCAGCCAACUGGGAUGGAGCCUCCAGCUGGCAUGACAGGUUGUAGCUAUGGACAGAAGAGUGGCUGUGAGGCUGCCAGGAAUCUCACCAGGGCCCCCUCCCAGGGCCUGUCCAGAGUGAGGUCUGGGUACCCCAGGCAUUGCCAGACCACAGGAUCUGAUGUUGGCCAAGAGGCCAUGGCCACAGGCUUUCUGAGGCUGGCCCCCAGGGAGAGUUCAAUCCUACUAUCCCAAUUCCUGCCCUGGCCUUACCUCUCAGUCUCACCGAGCCGCUUCAUGGUCCCAAACCAGGACCCAAAGUGCUGCUUGGGCUCAAGGUUGUAAUUAUUUGCAGCCAACUGGAGCAGCGGACCUCCUUGCUUACUUUGAAUUCCUGGGUCCAGAGGGAAAAACUGGGUGGUGACAGGGACUGGACAGGGAUGCCACAGGGGCCCUGUGGGGGUGUUAGAUGGGGUGGUGGCCAGUCUUUGCUCAUAGGGCACAACCUCCUCCUCUCCAGUCCUGUCUCCACCUGUUCUCAGAGCUGGCUCAAACGGCAGCUCCUCCAGGAAGGUGUCCUUGGUUUCAACCUGGUACUCCCACCUGCAGGUCUUCCUGGAGUGUCUCCUCUUUGUCUCUGUCUCCCCAUAAAUCUAAGAUGAGGGGGAUGGAUUUGCCCACCGCUACUCACCAUAUGACUCUUGUGAGGUUGAUCAGUCUCCCCUGGAAGGCCAACAGCUGAAGUCCAUCAGAAAGGGUCCUCUGGCCCAGAGCCAGCCCCUGCCCACCCCUGUCAUGCUGCACCCAGGGUGCAAGACCCAGAUCAGGUCUGGGUGACAGGAGGGCUAUAGAGGGGCUGAGACUCAGGGGCCUUCUAGCCUAACUUGUCUGGAGACAUUUGGGGAAACUGAGACCCCAAGCAGGGAGGUAUGGCUCCGAGAGAUUAUUCUCAUUAAUCUGGAACAUUUUUGCAAGCUGUUAGGUAUAGGAAGUCUGUCACAGGUAAGAGAAAUGCUUUUUGAGAGCAUGAGAGACAGCAGGGUUGUGACAAUAUUGAAACACCACCAUGCAGAUUCACCAAUUGCCACCACCGGGAGCCCCCUGAGAGCCAUUGCAGAUGCACAGCCCUCCCCUGCAACCCCUGGACCUCCCCAUGGUCUGGCACCUAAAGGGUUAUGCCUUAUGGCAGGAAUCAGGGCCCUCAGGAUGCCCUGCCCACUCCAAGGUCUGCCUCUGCUCUGAUUGGUCACUGACAUUCAGAUAGUCACCCAAAUAUAAGGACGUUAGCAGAAAGACUCAUUCAAUACAAGUGGACUCAGACAUAGAUAGGAAUUGGGUUGCAAAAAGCCCCUUUUGUUUCUUUUAUUUUAUUUUGGAAAAAACUUUUAUUGUGAAAAUUCACAUGUAUGUAUAGAAAAAAAUUCAAUUAAUGCAAAAGGAUAGACAAUGAACAAAUGAAUUCCCCUUCCACUCCAGAUCCCCAACUCAGAUCCAGACCUCCUGAGCCCACUUCCCCCAUCUCAUCACAGAUCCAGACCUCCUGAGCCCACUUUCCCCAUCUCAUCACAGAUCCAGACCUCCUGAGCCCACUUCCCCAUCUCAUCACCAGUGAUUUCUUGGGCUCUGCAUUAGUUUUCUAUUGCUGCUGCAACAAACAGCUACAGACUCAGUGGCUUCCAUUUCUGUCUUAUAGUUCUGGUUGCCAAAAGUCCUAAGAGGAUCUCACUGGGCUAAAGUCAAGGUGCUGGCAGGGCUAUGUCCCUUCUGGAGGCUCAAGGGAUGAAUCGGGUCCCUGCCUUUUCUAGCUUCUAGGGGCUCCAGCUUCUAGGUUUGUGGCCUCCUUCCUCCAUCCUCAAAGCCAGCAACAGCAGGUGAAGUCCUCGCCCAUCGUGCAUCACUCUCCCUUCUGCCUCCUUCAACAUUUUUUUUUUAUAUUUAGGGGGAACGAGUACAGGAUUCUUACAUAGUCAAAAAGCUCCUUAUAGAGAAGCUCGGAACUUUCAAUACAGCUUUGCCUUUUUUGCCAUUUUAAUUUUCCAUUUAAUUUAAAUGUAUUCUCUCAUUUGAUCUUCAUACUCUGUGGAGAAAUAUUUCUAUUUCAGCUUGUAUUGACAAGCUGUUUUCACACAGCCCCCGCAUCACCCAACCAACCAGCCGAGAUCCUCAUUCCCAUGAAACAGAUAAAGAAACUGAGGCCCAGGGAGGCUAAGAGUCCUACCAGGAUCAUUCACCUUCCAAGGUAAGGAGCCCGUUCCAGACCUGGGUUUGUGCAGCUCCAAGCUCCCCCGUCUUUCUACAAUGCUAGAUUUAGACUAUAGCAAUCUAGCAAGUGUGGCCACACAAUGGUCAAGUUGGAUUUAGAUGAUGUUCUCUAUAAAUCCAUUCUCCUCUCCCGUGUAAGCAAGGCAAAGUACUCCAGGCCAUGGGGAGUCCCUGAAGACUCGAUGAACUGCAGUGGCCACAUCAGGAGGUUGCAGGUUAACCAGAACUCACCGACACAGCAGGAGAGCAGCUUGGAACCUGCAACCUAGCCAAAACCUAGUGCCUUGGAUUGGGGGAGAAAACAUGCAGCCAUUCCUCUCUCUCUGCUGGCUAGAGGGGAUUCUGGCUUUUCCUCCCAGAGCCACCCCUUUCCCUCCUCCUAAAGUUGAUGGUGGUUCUUUAAGGAAAGGGAGAAGUGCACAGUGUGAUAGGGCAGGAAGAGAAGGAAACGGAGGAGAGGAGGGGACUUUCCCAUAAGCAGGCAGAAGAAAAGGCAGCUGUGUUGUGAUGGACAUGGAUGCAGUGGUGUCCGAUGUGGGGUCAGCCCUAGAGGAGAGACAGAGAGAGAGACAGAAAAGUGAGAGAGUCCUGACCCUUACGAUUAACAUGGGAUCUGCCUGCAAAUGCUGUUUAGGGCCAUUGCCUCUUCCUGUACUGCUAUUUUUGAGAGUGAUGCUCCUGAGCCCCAUGACCCAGUCAAAUUUGAUGUCCCCUCGAGCCAGAUUCAGUGCUGGGAGUCCAGUGUGAUCUGCCUGGAUCUUGCUGCAUUGAGAACAGGCCAGAUCUUGACCCCAAUACAGGGGCUGGAUAUGAACAGGCAAUAGCUGGGUUUCUGAGUCAGAAAGACUUGGUUGAUUGCUAAUUGCUUAGGCGAGUAAUUUAAUUUUGUUGAGUCAGAUUCCUCAGCUACAAAAUGCAGAUGACAGUACUUACUCCUCCAGGUUGUGGGGAAAAUGGAGAUUCUGAGCACGAUGUCCAUUUCACAGAAAGGUACCAAUUUGGUGGCUUAUUUUCCUUUCUACCUUCAGAAGUGGCUAUCCCUGCCACCCAAACAGACCCUUGACUCUCAAGUGUACGGGGUCCCAUUUACACAGGGGGAGAGCUUACAGCCUACGUUGAGUCUAUACUUACCACUUAGUGAGCAUGGUAUCCGCUCAGGGGCCUCUGUGGGCAUCCAUCUCCUCUGCAGCAUCUUUCCUCCCCACCGCUGGGCCUGCACAUGACCCCCUCCUUGGGUUAGACCUCUGAUCAGUGAUGACCUUGGUAUGCUGGUGAUGGUCAGUCUUGGCACCAAAUGAGACAGUUUAUGUCAUCAGCUAUUCAAUAAAACACUAAUCUAGUUGUCACCGUGAAAGUAUUUUGUGACAUUGUUAUGUACGUGUUGUUACAAAUGUGCAUGAUGCAUUUACUACAGCAUAGAAUUUUGCCUGGGUGCCAGCCUGAAGUCUGUCCGACAGAUCAUAGCCAUGUUAGUCCCACAGUCACAGAGGCCAAUGGAUUAAAUUAUUUUAUCUCCCUUGAGAACAAAAAAUAAAAUCCUAAGCCCCCCACCCGACUUAACAGACCCCCUGUUGGCCAACGGAACCUCAAAUAAAUCUUAAAAUUCAGUUCUCGGCCAUGACAGGACAGGAGGUCAGACAUACCUCCCUGUACCUCCCUCCCUCUUAUGGUUUAGACCCAACAACUGAGCAGCAUUAAUGUUAAAAUAGAGAUCAUGAGACUGACAGAACAGACUCUUUGUGGCAAUAAGACCUCAAAUUAUAAACAGGGCCUAGGGCCAUGCCAGGCGAGGGUUAAGUCUUGUACCCUACUCUUAAAGAAUUAACUAGAUUCUAACUACCACAUGGGUUUUAUUUUUCUCUAGCAGCCAAGCAAGCACUGGCUGUGAGAGAAGCAAGAUUAAAACAAUUACAACUCACCCAGUUCACAGACGCUGAGUAACUGAUCUCCUGCCCCACUAACCUUAACGACAGCUUUCUCUGGACAAGGGACUGAUUUCAGUAACUUUCUCCUGAUAAGAGACCAUCCUCCAUGGACUGGUUCUGGCCAGUUUUAGAGGCUGUGCCUUUACAGAGGCUGAGCCUUUACAGAGGCUGAGUACCUUUAUGUCCCUGCUUCACUUUUUGAUGUGUAGGGCCUAAUUAUAAUACAUUUAAAUGUCAAGUCUCCACCCCAGAAUGAACAUGCAUGUUUAUUGAAUAUGCAUGCGUUAGGACCUCUUUUAUGAGUAUUCUCAUAAAAUGAUGUAGCUCCUCUGAUAUCCUAUUGAGUAUGUAUAUGUAGCCAACUCAUUUGGCUCAAAUUCCUGUCCUCUCCUUCCCUCCCUGGAAAUGCCUGCCUCUGGCCUUGGCUGUAGGCCACACUUCCCAGCCUGUCAUAAUGGCCACCUUGCGGACUGCAAACCUUUAUAAGAAAUAAAGCUCUCUUUUCUAAAUUUA
Molecule: long non-coding RNA, 12330 nt
Filed under: Homo sapiens (human)
Lineage: Eukaryota; Metazoa; Chordata; Mammalia; Primates; Hominidae
Description: HSALNT0405081
Source: RNAcentral